RNA transcript from Solanum pennellii, 2797 nucleotides. It is a transcript of the gene named DNA mismatch repair protein MLH3-like, with no coding region annotated. The record is from RefSeq and is a predicted model, not a curated record. The transcript is spliced from 16 exons. Lineage: Eukaryota; Viridiplantae; Streptophyta; Magnoliopsida; Solanales; Solanaceae.
GACACCACCUUUCAAAAAUUAUAAAAAGAGACACCGUGUAAAUUAGAAGUCACCACCUUGCUGCUACUAACUCUUCCGGCGACGAUUCCCGACAAAAACCCAUAAACCCUAAUUCAACUUUCGCCGCCGAUCAAUCUGCCCAAGUAUCUGUUGCUAUAGACAUUGCGACCUGCUAUGUUAAGGUGGAUGACAAUGGAUCUGGUGGGUGUUUCACGAGAUGGAUACGUGUUGAUGGGAGAAAAUAUGGUUUUUUUUUUUUGGAAAAUGUUGGACUGACAUCAUCUUUUCUAUUUUAGUGAUGCUGUUGUACGUAAUUUCUUUUGCCUGACAACUAUGAUGUUCAUAACUUGGAAUGAUAGUUGUAAUCUAUAGGAUUGCUUGCAUGCAUUACUCAACUGUAGGCUGUUUGACGGUCUGCAUUCAUUAUUAUCUUUUCAAAGAUGUUCUUUUAUUUAUUGUUAUGUGGUUUUACUUGUAAAUGGGCUAACUUGUAUGACUGUACACAACACCAAAUAUUGAUGCUUACAUUUUUGGUUUUGCUUGUAUUGUAAGUUGUUCAUGUACAUUGCCUUCCUGGUGCUUCAUUUGCAAUAAAUACUUUCUUUACCUGAACCGUCUCCCCAAAAGAAAACGGGUAGCUUGGGGGAGGUGGGGUGGGUUGGAGUGGAGAGAGACAUGAAAUAUGUUUUUGUUGAUCACUGUUGUAUGUAGAGAUGUUUUGAUUAUUUAUUCUUGCUAAAGUUGAGCCGGAACAUAAAUUUUGGUGCUUAGAUACUUUAAGGUCAGCUUAUGGAGACAGUAUAUGUGCCUGUUUCUUUCAUCUUCUGUCAUGCUUCAUUUUUUUCUGGCCAUUUUAACUACGGUUUUGGCCAUCAAAUCUGCCCAGGUAACUCAAACAAUUACCUAGUGAUUCAAUUAACAUUGCCCCUCACCUUAACCCUUUUUUGUGGUAUCUGAAUAUAAGAUAGUUUUAGGUAGCAUUUGUUAAAAUUAGGCCAACUAUAUUUGAGUUUGAAUUAGAAAUGUAGGAUUGUUCUGUUUUGUAUAUUCGAGUUGCUGUCUAGUAGUUGUAACUCUGGAGCAUUCACCAUAUAUGUACAUGAGCGACAUCAAGAUACAGCCAGAUGAUAUGCAUGCUUUCUCAGCAAGGUUUGGUUUUAAAGAAGAGGCUCUGAGCUCUAUUUCUGACGUUUCUUUGUUGGAAAUUGUUAGUAAAACUCACAGGAGACCAAAUGGAUAUCGUAAGGUUUUGAAGCCAUUGUUUACAGAACGACAAGUGUUAGUACCUUGGAAUUGAUGAUUGUAGGCAGGAUGUUUGUACAACAGUCAUUAUUCAUGAAGUAUUGUACAACCAACCAGCUCGAAGGAAGCAAAUGCACUCCAACCCAAAGAAGGUCUUGCAUGCUCUGAAAAAGUCUCUGCUGAGAAUCGCCCUUGUGCAUCCCAGUGUCUCCUUCAAAAUUGUUGAUAUUGAAAGUGAGGAUGACCUGCUUUGCACACAUGCUUCUCCGUCUCCAUUGCUGGUAUUGUCCAGUGAGUUUGGAAUUCAUCUGAGUUCCCUUAACAAAGUGAAUGCAAGUGAUGGUUCAUUCAAGCUCUCAGGCUACAUUUCAGGUCCUGAUGUUUACACAAUGAAGGUCCUUCAAUAUUUCUGUAUCCACUUGUUACUAGUAUAUUUUCCUGACAAAGAAAAACGGAAGACCAAUCUUUGUGCUUCUUACAUUGAGAAGUGAAGUAGAUCUCAGAUAUAUCCACAGGUUAUGUUGAACCUAAAUUGUCCAACAUCUUUAAAUGAUUUUACUUUGGAGCCUUCAAAAACCUCUGUGGAAUUUAGGUUCAUAUGUACUGGUCAUAACAAACAGUGAAUGUGUUGGAUCUUACUUCGGGCACCCUAAAGUUUCAUCGAUGAAUUUUUUCCUUGCGAUCAGUCUCUCAAGAACACUGCUGCUGAACAAAAAACAUGGAAGCUCAGUUUUCUGCACUGCUUAAAGUCGUAGAGCGGACUCCCGGUCUGUACUUCUCUUAUGAUGCCAAUAUAACGCUGAGGUACUUUCUAUUAAAUGAGAAAGGUAAGAAAGUUGAAUUGCAACUUGGAGUUUUAAAGACCAACUGUAUUGACUGCUUUGACCGUACAAAUGUAAAACAGAGCAUAUGCUAGGCUGUAAAUGUCUGAAUUCCAACUGAGAAGGCUUGGUUCUUUCAAUGCUGAAGAAACUUUUAGCUCACACCCCAACCUUGACGAAAGCUUAAACUUUUGUGGGCCAGCCGCGGUACUCUAGCUUUAAAGGGUGUUUUUGUCAGGCACUCGAAUGUGGAGAAGAGGGGCUGAUUCUGAUGGAUUUGUUGCAAAUUUGAGGAAAGCGAGCAAAUUAUCCAGUUGAAAGGGUAUACAACAUCAUUUGUUCAGGUUUAUAACUUCCUCUGUCAAAAGGAAAAGAUUGAAUCCACGAAUGGAGUAGCACUCGAGCUAUGAAGCAGUAGAUAAUAUCUCGCAUCAAUACCAUGAUAAGAAAAUGGACCUUGGGCCUAACUCAAUCCAAAAUAUAGCUCGGAGGCGAGAAUUUCCAAAGGCCGUAUAACAAGAUCAAGUCCCCCAACCCACCAUCUUUUGGCUAGCAAGAGGAAGGGAAGGUUGGGAAAUUCACAAAUCUUAAAUGAAAUGCUUGAGCUUUGCUGAAACAUCACAUAUUAGAAUGCUUUGUAGUUUAUGUGAUGGAUAAGUGCAUCUGUACAUUUUUUCACUUUUUGUCGAGAUAUUCUGUUAUUAUAUUAAAAAGUGUGUGUUUUGUUGGUCAGA